GACGAAGGGGGCUAGCGUUGUUCGGAAUUACUGGGCGUAAAGCGCGUGUAGGCGGUUGCCAUAGUCAGGUGUGAAAGCCUUGAGCUUAACUCAAGAAAUGCACUUGAUACUGGGCGACUAGAGGACCGGAGAGGAUAGUGGAAUUCCCAGUGUAGUGGUGAAAUACGUAGAGAUUGGGAAGAACACCAGUGGCGAAGGCGGCUAUCUGGACGGUUACUGACGCUAAGGCGCGAAAGCCAGGGGAGCGAACGGG
Molecule: ribosomal RNA, 253 nt
Filed under: uncultured bacterium
Lineage: Bacteria
Description: partial 16S ribosomal RNA
Rfam family: Bacterial small subunit ribosomal RNA
Source: RNAcentral